UCCGAAGGGGGCUAGCGUUGCUCGGAAUUACUGGGCGUAAAGCGCACGUAGGCGGUCUUUUAAGUCGGGGGUGAAAGCCCGGAGCUCAACUCCGGAACUGCCAUUGAAACUGUGAGACUUGAGGAUGAGAGAGGUGAGUGGAAUUCCCAGUGUAGAGGUGAAAUUCGUAGAUAUUGGGAAGAACACCGGUGGCGAAGGCGGCUCACUGGCUCAUUUCUGACGCUCAGGCGCGACAGCGUGGGGAUCAAACAGG
This 253-nucleotide ribosomal RNA is filed under the name uncultured bacterium. RNAcentral's name for it is "partial 16S ribosomal RNA". It matches the Rfam family "Bacterial small subunit ribosomal RNA", at positions 524 to 776 of the family's 1533-position model. The record is from RNAcentral.